GUGGGGAAUCUUGCGCAAUGGGCGAAAGCCUGACGCAGCCAUGCCGCGUGAAUGAUGAAGGUCUUAGGAUUGUAAAAUUCUUUCACCGGGGACGAUAAUGACGGUACCCGGAGAAGAAGCCCCGGCUAACUUCGUGCCAGCAGCCGCGGUAAUACGAAGGGGGCUAGCGUUGCUCGGAAUUACUGGGCGUAAAGGGCGCGUAGGCGGACAGCUUAGUCAGAGGUGAAAGCCCAGGGCUCAACCUUGGAAUUGCCUUUGAUACUGGCUGUCUUGAGUUUGGGAGAGGUGAGUGGAACUCCGAGUGUAGAGGUGAAAUUCGUAGAUAUUCGGAAGAACACCAGUGGCGAAGGCGACUCACUGGCCCAAUACUGACGCUGAGGCGCGAAAGCGUGGGGAGCAAACAGGAUUAGAUACCCCUGUAGUCC
Molecule: ribosomal RNA, 425 nt
Filed under: uncultured bacterium
Lineage: Bacteria
Description: partial 16S ribosomal RNA
Rfam family: Bacterial small subunit ribosomal RNA
Source: RNAcentral